Molecule: ribosomal RNA, 664 nt
Filed under: uncultured archaeon
Lineage: Archaea
Description: bacterial SSU rRNA
Rfam family: Archaeal small subunit ribosomal RNA
Source: RNAcentral
GCGAGUCUUUGUAGUAAUACAAGGCAGACGGCUCAGUAACACGUAGUCAACCUACCCUAUGGACGAGAAUAAUCUCGGGAAACUGAGCAUAAUUCUCGAUAGAUCAUAAUGCCUGGAAUGGUUUAUGGUUAAAAUGAUUCGUCGCCAUAGGAUGGGACUGCGGCCUAUCAGCUUGUUGGUGAGGUAAUGGCCCACCAAGGCGAUUACAGGUACGGGCUCUGAGAGGAGAAGCCCGGAGAUGGGUACUGAGACACGGACCCAGGCCCUAUGGGGCGCAGCAAGCGAGAAAACUUUGCAAUGUGCGAAAGCACGACAAGGUUAAUCCGAGUGAUUUCUGCUAAAGAAAUCUUUUGUCAGUCAUAAAACCACUGACGAAUAAGGGGUGGGCAAGUUCUGGUGUCAGCCGCCGCGGUAAAACCAGCACCUCAAGUGGUCAGGAUGAUUAUUGGGCCUAAAGCAUCCGUAGCCGGCUUUGUUAGUUUUCGGUUAAAUCCACGUGCUCAACACAUGGGCUGCCGAAAAUACUGCAUGGCUAGGGAGUGGGAGAGGUAGACGGUACUCAGUAGGAAGGGGUAAAAUCCCUUGAUCUAUUGAUGACCACCUGUGGCGAAGGCGGUCUACCAGAACACGUUCGACGGUGAGGGAUGAAAGCUGGGGGAGCAAA